UCCUGCAUUCGAAAGUGAUCGCGGGCGGCCGUGCCCUGGUCAUUGAUAGUGCAGGGAGAGGAAUUGCCGAAAGCGUUUCCCCGUGUUGGAAGGGCCCAUCCUGUCCCUUCCAAACUCUGGAGCUUUCGUACA
This is a small nucleolar RNA of Puma concolor (puma), 132 nucleotides long. RefSeq annotates it as small nucleolar RNA SNORA71. The record is from RefSeq and is a predicted model, not a curated record. Lineage: Eukaryota; Metazoa; Chordata; Mammalia; Carnivora; Felidae.